ACCCUUUAAUGUUUGAUGUUCUAACGUUGGCCCCUUACCGGGGUUGCGGACAGUGUCUGGUGGGUAGUUUGACUGGGGCGGUCUCCUCCCAAAGCGUAACGGGGGAGCACGAAGGUUAGCUAAUCCUGGUCGGACAUCAGGAGGUUAGUGCAAUGGCAUAAGCUAGCUUGACUGCGAGCGUGACGGCGCGAGCAGGUGCGAAAGCAGGUCAUAGUGAUCCGGUGGUUCUGAAUGGAAGGGCCAUCGCUCAACGGAUAAAAGGUACUCCGGGGAUAACAGGCUGAUACCGCCCAAGAGUUCAUAUCGACGGCGGUGUUUGGCACCUCGAUGUCGGCUCAUCACAUCCUGGGGCUGAAGUAGGUCCCAAGGGUAUGGCUGUUCGCCAUUUAAAGUGGUACGCGAGCUGGGUUUAGAACGU
This 418-nucleotide ribosomal RNA is filed under the name Mycobacterium tuberculosis. Its description in RNAcentral is "partial 23S ribosomal RNA". It matches the Rfam family "Bacterial large subunit ribosomal RNA", at positions 2202 to 2619 of the family's 2925-position model. Lineage: Bacteria; Bacillati; Actinomycetota; Actinomycetes; Mycobacteriales; Mycobacteriaceae. The record is from RNAcentral.